RNAcentral lists this ribosomal RNA (318 nucleotides) under Salmonella enterica. Its description in RNAcentral is "partial 23S ribosomal RNA". It matches the Rfam family "Bacterial large subunit ribosomal RNA", at positions 166 to 522 of the family's 2925-position model. RNAcentral also lists the same sequence under 2 other names. The record is from RNAcentral. Lineage: Bacteria; Pseudomonadati; Pseudomonadota; Gammaproteobacteria; Enterobacterales; Enterobacteriaceae.
AUAGGUUAAUGAGGCGAACCGGGGGAACUGAAACAUCUAAGUACCCCGAGGAAAAGAAAUCAACCGAGAUUCCCCCAGUAGCGGCGAGCGAACGGGGAGGAGCCCAGAGCCUGAAUCAGCAUGUGUGUUAGUGGAAGCGUCUGGAAAGGCGCGCGAUACAGGGUGACAGCCCCGUACACAAAAGCGCAUGUGCUGUGAGCUCGAUGAGUAGGGCGGGACACGUGGUAUCCUGUCUGAAUAUGGGGGGACCAUCCUCCAAGGCUAAAUACUCCUGACUGACCGAUAGUGAACCAGUACCGUGAGGGAAAGGCGAAAAGA